CCAGACUCCUACGGGAGGCAGCAGUGAGGAAUAUUGGUCAAUGGGCGGGAGCCUGAACCAGCCAAGUCGCGUGAGGGAAGACGGUCCUAUGGAUUGUAAACCUCUUUAGGCGGGGAGCAAUGCCGGGCACGCGUGCCCGGAGGGAGAGUACCCGCAGAAUAAGCAUCGGCUAACUCCGUGCCAGCAGCCGCGGUAAUACGUAGGGGGCAAGCGUUAUCCGGAUUUACUGGGUGUAAAGGGAGCGUAGACGGCAUGGCAAGCCAGAUGUGAAAUACCGGGGCUCAAUCCCGGGACUGCAUUUGGAACUGUUAAGCUGGAGUGUCGGAGAGGCAGGCGGAAUUCCUAGUGUAGCGGUGAAAUGCGUAGAUAUUAGGAGGAACACCAGUGGCGAAGGCGGCCUGCUGGACGAUAACUGACGUUGAGGCUCGAAAGCGUGGGGAGCAAACAGGAUUAGAUACCCCGGUAG
Molecule: ribosomal RNA, 466 nt
Filed under: uncultured bacterium
Lineage: Bacteria
Description: bacterial SSU rRNA
Rfam family: Bacterial small subunit ribosomal RNA
Source: RNAcentral